This 118-nucleotide ribosomal RNA is filed under the name Vulpes vulpes (red fox). Lineage: Eukaryota; Metazoa; Chordata; Mammalia; Carnivora; Canidae. The record is from RNAcentral.
CUCUAUGGCCAUAGCACCCCGAAUGCGCCCGAUCUCGUCUGAUCUCAGAAGCUAAGCAGGGUCGGGCCUGGUUAGUACUUGGAUGGGAGACAAUUACCAACCUUCAAGGAAGCUGACU